RNAcentral lists this long non-coding RNA (638 nucleotides) under Junco hyemalis (dark-eyed junco). RNAcentral's name for it is "lncRNA (ENSJHYG00000007872.1)". The record is from RNAcentral. Lineage: Eukaryota; Metazoa; Chordata; Aves; Passeriformes; Passerellidae.
CUGGGAGGCAACAGGAAAGUGACUCAUGAGACAUUGCAUCCUCCUCUGUGCAGGCAACAUGGUGACUUGAAGAACAGGCACUGGACCACACAGAAGCUGUGGGACUGACAGCAAAAUGAUAGAGGCUGACAGUGACCAAGCUCUUGGCUGGUUAAGGUCCUGACUGAAGUCAUCUGAGCUCCUCUUAGGAGUUCCUCAGCUAUCACUGACCUGUGGACACCAGCAAAUAGAGCUCUGCUCCAUCCAGAGCUGUCAUACUGUGCCAGGGUUUUAAUAGUGAUGGCUGAAAACAGCAUCCAGUGUUGACAGAACGAGAUGCCUCUCCAGGAGCAAACACGGGAAGGAUCUACCUUUCUCCAUGAACCCUAGAUAAGUCACACGGUUGGCUUAAACGAGACGCUUCACGCUUGGAUGGCUGCAGUGAGGGGAGCACUCCUGCAGUGUGGGGAGCUGCACGGAGCCUGUCACCAAGUUCCUCAGGGACAUGUGUGGAGUGCUGCUGGCAGGCAGUGAAGACCUCUGGGUGGCAGUGACUGCUGGGUGAGCUGUGUAAGCAGAUCUGUGGUGUGUCUCUUUCCCUUUGUGUCUCCUGAGGGGUAAAAAGCUCAUCGGAGGAGACAGCUGGUGUAUCUGAGAAU